RNAcentral lists this non-coding RNA (84 nucleotides) under Herpetosiphon aurantiacus DSM 785. The record is from RNAcentral. Lineage: Bacteria; Bacillati; Chloroflexota; Chloroflexia; Herpetosiphonales; Herpetosiphonaceae.
UGCUCUCGACCAAUUUGGCGGGAAGCACUGAUUGGUUUUCUGGUUUCAAACACCACUUGGAUCGCACCCGACCGAGAUGGUAAG